Trematomus bernacchii (emerald rockcod) is the source of this 1463-nucleotide long non-coding RNA. RefSeq lists it as uncharacterized. Lineage: Eukaryota; Metazoa; Chordata; Actinopteri; Perciformes; Nototheniidae. The transcript has 2 exons. The record is from RefSeq and is a predicted model, not a curated record.
CUGGGACUUCAGUAUGAACCCUCCUCUUCUGGAAACUGUGGAGCAUCACUCAGAGUUUGUGUGUGGACUGGACUUUAAUCUGCAUAUCCCCAACCAGGUGGUGGACUGUUCCUGGGAUGAGACGGUGAAGAUCUACACACCUGCCUGUCUGUCUGCAGGAACACAAAGUACAGCACGUUAGAACACACACACACACACACACACACACACACACACACACACUGACACACACGUUUGCUUUCAUUUUCUGAAGGUUAUUUUCAUAUGUUUUGGAGUCUUUUCAAUCUUUAUAACAUCCACAAUGAACAUUAUGUAACUACUUUACCUAAACAAAUGUGUUAUGUCAUGGUAUUAUGCACCAAGAAUGCCUGUUCUUGCACAAUGUACCUUAGGUUAGCAUGUCUUACAAUUUUGUAACUUCUGUAAAUUAAUUUGGUAAAACUAGAUCAUACUUUACGGGAAAAAAAAUGUUUCUGGUUAUCCAUCUGAUUUCCUCUGCCUGUUCUGCGUCAACUCUUUGUGAUUCCCAGAGUUUUGAUGAACAUAAAGCUUUUCUUGUUGCUGAAGUAACACUAACUACCUUUAAGAUAAACCACCGUUAGCUAGUUAGCUUUUAGCUCAGAUAGCUGUGCUGCCCGAACUGUUUUAGCAAUUUUAUCUGCCUUGCUGUCUCAUGUUGUUUGCAAAGUUGUAGACUUGCUAAUUCUUGAACAUCAGUAAUGUAAUCAUAACAAUGAAAAGUGUUAAGUAACAACUGUUCAUAUUUUCAACAGCGAUUAAAAGGUAAUUACCCUCCAAAACUGUAGGGGGCGCUAAAUAUAAAUACAUAACUUUAUUUAAACUAUAGUUCUUAUAUUUUCUAAUAUUUCACAGAUUUUCCACAAGCUUUCCAUUGCUUUUAUUUCAAAGCAUCUUUAUUUAGCCCUUUCCCUGCUGGCCCACCUGCCACACACACAUACAAUCUGGGGACCACUGCCAAAACGAUAACUUUUUAACUGCCUAACCCCAGUGCUUUUUCUUAUAUCUGACCUUAACUAGUCCUAAUAAUGACCAUGAACUUAAAAAACAAAUCUUAUCCCUAAAAUGUAAAGUUUUCUUGCUGUCCCCAUAAGGAAAUUCCCUGUUGUAGUCCCCACAAAGGGGUGAAAACAAACACACACACGCAUCAUCAGCAGGCGAUUUGCACUUUAACUUAAUUCCCAAACGAUUCAAAAUGUUCAAUCCAAGCUUGGUCGUGUUGACUUUCCUGUGAAUGAAUUAUGUAAAUCAUAAUGUCUUUAUGAUCCAUAACAUCCAUGUGAUUAUGUGUUUCUGUUUUAUCUCACUGAUACUCUGUUUGACUGAAGAAAACAAAAUGUAAACUGUGACUAAUUUCACCGCUGAAAUGCCAUCAGUGCAGAUGUGUUAGUGGAUGAUGAUCUGUACGUGCAGUGCCUUCAAUAAAAAUGCAAAUAUCAUAUGAA